RNAcentral lists this ribosomal RNA (421 nucleotides) under uncultured bacterium. RNAcentral describes it as "bacterial SSU rRNA". It matches the Rfam family "Bacterial small subunit ribosomal RNA", at positions 11 to 423 of the family's 1533-position model. The record is from RNAcentral.
GUUGAUCCUGGCUCAGAUUGAACGCUGGCGGCGUGCUUAACACAUGCAAGUCGUGCGAGAAAGGGGACUUCGGUCCCUGAGUAGAGCGGCGCACGGGUGAGUAACGCGUGGAUAAUCUCCCCAGAAGUUCGGGAUAACGGCGGGAAACUGCCGCUAAUACCGGAUACGCUCCAAUUUCGGUUGGGGGAAAGGCGGCCUCUGUUUACAAGCUGUCGCUUCUGGAUGAGUCCGCGUCCCAUUAGCUUGUUGGUGGGGUAAUGGCCUACCAAGGCUACGAUGGGUAGCUGGUCUGAGAGGAUGAUCAGCCACACUGGAACUGAAACACGGUCCAGACUCCUACGGGAGGCAGCAGUGGGGAAUAUUGCGCAAUGGGGGAAACCCUGACGCAGCGACGCCGUGUGAGGGAUGAAGGCUUUCGGGU